GUAUUGUUAGCCGAACGCUCUGGAAAGUGCGGCCAUAGCAGGUGAUAGCCCUGUAGGCGAAAACAGUAUGAAAGAACUAGGUGUACGACAAGUAGGGCGGGACACGUGAAAUCCUGUCUGAAGAUGGGGGGACCAUCCUCCAAGGCUAAAUACUCGUGAUCGACCGAUAGUGAACCAGUACCGUGAGGGAAAGGCGAAAAGAACCCCGGGAGGGGAGUGAAAUAGAUCCUGAAACCGCAUGCAUACAAACAGUCGGAGCCUCGUAAGGGGUGACGGCGUACCUUUUGUAUAAUGGGUCAGCGACUUACGUUCAGUAGCAAGCUUAACCGUAUAGGGCAGGCGUAGCGAAAGCGAGUCCGAAUAGGGCGUUCAGUUGCUGGGCGUAGACCCGAAACCAGGUGAUCUAUCCAUGGCCAGGAUGAAGGUGCGGUAACACGUACUGGAGGUCCGAACCCACUAACGUUGAAAAGUUAGGGGAUGAGCUGUGGAUAGGGGUGAAAGGCUAAACAAACCUGGAAAUAGCUGGUUCUCUCCGAAAACUAUUUAGGUAGUGCCUCGUGUCUCACCUUCGGGGGUAGAGCACUGUCAUGGUUGGGGGGUCUAUUGCAGAUUACCCCGCCAUAGCAAACUCCGAAUACCGAAGAGUGCAAUCACGGGAGACAGACAUCGGGUGCUAACGUCCGGUGUCAAGAGGGAAACAACCCAGACCGCCAGCUAAGGUCCCCAAAUAUGGCUAAGUGGGAAACGAAGUGGGAAGGCUAAAACAGUCAGGAGGUUGGCUUAGAAGCAGCCACCCUUUAAAGAAAGCGUAAUAGCUCACUGAUCGAGUCGUCCUGCGCGGAAGAUGUAACGGGGCUAAGCCAUAUACCGAAGCUGCGGAUGCG
This 884-nucleotide ribosomal RNA is filed under the name Burkholderia multivorans. RNAcentral's name for it is "partial 23S ribosomal RNA". It matches the Rfam family "Bacterial large subunit ribosomal RNA", at positions 323 to 1210 of the family's 2925-position model. Lineage: Bacteria; Pseudomonadati; Pseudomonadota; Betaproteobacteria; Burkholderiales; Burkholderiaceae. The record is from RNAcentral.